AUACGGAGGAUCCGAGCGUUAUCCGGAUUUAUUGGGUUUAAAGGGUGCGCAGGCGGCCAUUUAAGUCAGCGGUUAAAUCGUGGGGCUCAACCCCAUUCUGCCGUUGAUACUGGGUGGCUUGAUUGCGGUCGAGGUUGGCGGAAUUCGUUGUGUAGCGGUGAAAUGCAUAGAUAUGACGAAGAACACCGACUGCGUAGGCAGCUGACCAGACCGCAAAUGACGCUCAUGCACGAAAGUGCGGGGAUCGAACAGGAUUAGAUACCCUGGUAGUCCGCACAGUAAACGAUGAAUACUUGUUUUCGGCGAUAUAAUGUCGGAGGCAAAGCGAAAGCGAUAAGUAUUCCACCUGGGGAGUACGCCGGCAACGGUGAAACUCAAAGGAAUUGACGGGG
Molecule: ribosomal RNA, 392 nt
Filed under: uncultured bacterium
Lineage: Bacteria
Description: partial 16S ribosomal RNA
Rfam family: Bacterial small subunit ribosomal RNA
Source: RNAcentral